UAUUCCACAUACGGUUAAAACGAGGCCGGCAGAAGUGUGCUUCAUUUCCGAACUUGACCCCUUAACCUGCACCUCAAGCUCAUUUUUAUUGCUACCCACUGAGCCCUGCUCUCCACGCACCGGUUGCACCAGCCCUGCCGACCCGUACGUUCGCGGUCUCCGCUGGGAUGGCUGGAAAGGAAGCGAGAAAGUCACGGAAGAACUUACCUGAAACGAUCCCAUUCGACAGGAACCCCAGCUGGUAAAGGAGGCAGCAGCAGCAGAUGAGUUUCCGAGGCCGAGCAGGCUAGUGCUGGAGCCCCACAAGACAGACCCACAGCCAGCCGAGAGCCGGGAGUGCUGCCUCUGGACAGGCAGAGGACUGCCCGGCGCGGGCAGGAGAGCUGUGGUGUCCGAGCCGAGGCUCGCCGCCUGCACCCGCGCGGAACGGGCGGAGGCUGGUGUCACAGUCUCAGCAACUUGGUGUGCCAAGCUCCGCACACUCCUCACGCUCCUUAGGACGCACCGCUGAAGGCUCUCACCCGCAGCGGCGCGGGAGGGAAUGAGUAGGGAGAUGGGAAGACACGACUAGAGAGGUGGGUUGUAGAGCAGAAAAGAAUCAAGCACAUCUGACCAGAAAAAGGGACCAAGGGGUGCCCGCCAAGCGUGACUUUGCGGGACAAAGGUCCCAGAACACCGUGCACGUGCUCAAACGCCGGUUGGGAUGGGGUGGGGACCCAAAAUCCCUCACCUGACUAUUGAUUGGCCACUCGGGAAGGCCUGAUUUGCAUCCAUCCCCUGCCCCCG
This is a long non-coding RNA of Homo sapiens (human), 786 nucleotides long. Ensembl annotates it as ADAMTS19 antisense RNA 1. Its record names the gene ADAMTS19-AS1. The record is from Ensembl. NCBI's taxonomy places the organism in Eukaryota, Metazoa, Chordata, Mammalia, Primates, Hominidae.